This 440-nucleotide ribosomal RNA is filed under the name uncultured bacterium. RNAcentral describes it as "partial 16S ribosomal RNA". It matches the Rfam family "Bacterial small subunit ribosomal RNA", at positions 338 to 795 of the family's 1533-position model. The record is from RNAcentral.
CCUACGGGAGGCAGCAGUGGGGAAUAUUGGACAAUGGGGGGAACCCUGAUCCAGCGACGCCGCGUGAGUGAAGAAGUAUUUCGGUAUGUAAAGCUCUAUCAGCAGGGAAGAAAAUGACGGUACCUGACUAAGAAGCCCCGGCUAACUACGUGCCAGCAGCCGCGGUAAUACGUAGGGGGCAAGCGUUAUCCGGAUUUACUGGGUGUAAAGGGGGCGUAGACGGUGGAGCAAGUCUGAUGUGAAAGGUCGGGGCCCAACCCCGGGACUGCAUGGGAAACUGUUGAACUGGAGUACAGGAGGGGUAAGCGGAAUUCCUAGUGUAGCGGUGAAAUGCGUAGAUAUUAGGAGGAACACCAGUGGCGAAGGCGGCUUACUGGACAUUAACUGACGCUGAGGCACGAAGGCCAGGGGAGCGAAAGGGAUUAGAUACCCCAGUAGUC